Anopheles merus is the source of this 1114-nucleotide long non-coding RNA. RefSeq lists it as uncharacterized. Lineage: Eukaryota; Metazoa; Arthropoda; Insecta; Diptera; Culicidae. The record is from RefSeq and is a predicted model, not a curated record. The transcript is spliced from 4 exons.
AUAAUAUGUCUCCUUCUCUCAUUCACAGUACAACAAGCGAAAAAAGUAACAGAUAUACUGCAAGUAGGCGGUGGCGCGGCAGAGAUGAUGUUGAGGCACAAGCUGUGUGAAUUGAACGAACAGAAUGUUUACAAUCCACACAUAACCCAACUUUUUGCCUGUUUUCAAGCCAUCAGAACGAACUGACAGCGAGUCUCAAUGUGUGCGUGCCAUCGUGUUCAUUUGCGCUUGUGUGCGUGCAAUCUGGACCCCCCGUUUAGCUGAAAUCGGUUGAGUGUCAUUAGAAAAAUGAAAAAAAAACUGCUCGAUUUUUUACUUGGAUCGAGUAGUUUCGUCACCUAUCAAAUUGGCUUGUCAGUCUAGGGUUGUUUACAAGUCACGAAGCCAGUUACCAACCGAAAAAAGUGUUGCAUAACAAAAAGUAUUGGAAAAGCAUGCUUAAUUCUUUAUUUUUCACUGGUGAAAGUGAUGAUGCUGAUAAAAAUCUUGCACAACAUCGUAGGGAGCUGCAAAAACAGCUAGAUCCGCUUGAAUUAUCCGAUAAAGCAACUUUGAUCUUAAUACUGGAAAUCUAGAAAAGAAACUAGAUUUUAUGCAAAAUUUUCGACUCCCGAAGAGCCUGUUCGAGGAAAUUCUUGCAAAAAUAGCCCCAUUCAUUACUCCAAAACAUAACCGUGGUUUAUCUGCAGAACAAAAACUGGCUACUGUGUUAAGGUUGUUUGCACAAGGAGCUUACCAACAGGGUGUUGGUUACGAUUUUACCAUGACAAUUGGCCAAUCUACUUUUUCAGAAAAGUUAGAUCAAACCUUAGCAGUUCUGGAGGGUGAACUAACAUACGCAAUUACCAUGGAUCUAACAGAAGACGAGAGAGCAGAUGCCAGAAGAUACUUUUACUCGAAAUUACCUGUUCCUGGUGUAGUAAUGUGCAUCGAUGGAACCCAUAUAAGAAUCGUUGCGCCUCACGACAACUAAAUCCAUUAUUUCAAUAGAAAGGGAUUUUAUAGUCUUAACGCUUUGAUGAUAUGUGACCACAGGCAAAUCACGAUUCUUACAUUUAUAAUUCCAGUCCGAUUUCUUCAUAUUUUGAAGAAAAAUGGAGAAAUGGAGACCGAA